RNAcentral lists this long non-coding RNA (1721 nucleotides) under Nicotiana benthamiana. Its description in RNAcentral is "long non-coding RNA (NBEN_LNC040078)". The record is from RNAcentral. Lineage: Eukaryota; Viridiplantae; Streptophyta; Magnoliopsida; Solanales; Solanaceae.
UCAUGCUCGUCUGGUUAUGUUCUUUGCUGAACAACUUUACUUCUAUAUCCUCGUUGCCAGCUGUUUUCUCCAAACCGUCGGUACUGUUGGAAAGAUCAACCGGAUCAGCUUCUUUCUCGGACAUUUCAAUAUCAUCAGGUUUCUCGUUUGGUUCAGGUUGAACCUCUAAUGGGAGAUCAUUUCCAGUGUUGAUGGGACUUGUCUCUUUACCAGAAUCUCCGGAGGCAGGUUUUGAAUCACCACCCGUUGACUCCUCUGUACUCUCUAUAUCUGGUUUUGUUUUACCUGGAAGAAGGGAACUAGGUAACAUCUCAUUAUUAUCUUUAGCCACUUGCUGUUCAUCUCUAUCACCGCUGAACAACUUUACUUCUAGAUCCUCGUUGCCAGCUGUUUUCUCCAAACCGUCGGUACUGUUGGAAAGAUCAACCGGAUCAGCUUCUUUCUCGGACAUUUCAAUAUCAUCAGGUUUCUCGUUUGGUUCAGGUUGAACCUCUAAUGGGAGAUCAUUUCCAGUGUUGAUGGGACUUGUCUCUUUACCAGAAUCUCCGGAGGCAGGUUUUGAAUCACCACCCGUUGACUCCUCUGUACUCUCUAUAUCUGGUUUUGUUUUACCUGGAAGAAGGGAACUAGGUAACAUCUCAUUAUUAUCUUUAGCCACUUGCUGUUCAUCUCUAUCACGUGGGAAAGCGACAUCUUGACCAUUCAUAUCAGUGUAGGCCCUGGCUCCAACAGACGACCCACUUCUUUGCAAUUCUUGGUUGAACUCAGAGCUGUAAUUCCUAAAGGAUUCAUUAUUUCUCCUUGCUCUCAUAUAAUUUCUUGAACCCACCGAGUUAUGUUCAUCAGGAAACAUUCUCCUAUCGCCUACACCACUCUCGAAACGUGAAAGAGCUGAUGUCCGACCUUCAUCAACAUCUUGUCGCUUAAACCCCUGAAAAUUCCCAACCGGGCUCUUUAAGUUACCAUUUGGCAAUUUCCCUGAAAGAGCGUUCGGUGGCAGUAGCCCUUUGGAAACCAGGUACUCGGCUGCUAAACGUCCAGCUUCCAUGAAAAGAUCAUUUCCAUGCGAAGGCUGCUGAAACCCAAACUGCUUCGGUUGACCACGCCCAAAUCCACCUCGAUUAUAGUUUCCGUACUCCAAGUUGUGCAAUCCACGACCUCUUGCUGUUCCUUCGGGUGAAACCCGCGAGGCAGUAGCCACACCACCCAUCCCCAUUGAACUACCAGACUUAUACCCAGCUACUGAACUCCGAUGCCUGGCGUGCAUUUUUUUCAAAAACUGGAUCUUUUAAACUUAAAAAUGUAAGUCUUUUUCCAAAUUCCUCAAAUGAUCAAAGGGGUUGAAGAAUUUCUCAAGGGUUCAGUUCUUCUUCACCAAUUAAACUUGUACUUACAAGGGAUUCAGUUCUUCAACCAAACACAAGCUAAACAACAAUUGCAGUUUCUAUAACCCAUUCUCAGAAAGCUAAUAAAGUAUAUUUCCUUUUGUUUGUUCCAAAUUCAUCGAUCAUUGAAAAACCCAACUAAAACUAAACAGUCAAUAAGGUCAAAGAUUCAAUCUUUACAGUUCUGUUAAGUGACAAUCUAGAAUUUAGCAGCAGCAGUGUUACCUUUUAGGGAAAUGAAGCAAAUGUGUUUCUCUGGGCUGCAGCUUCAAUCGUUAUUGUUUUAGGUUUCAGAUCUAUUUCAUGAUCAUCAAAUUGUACUCCUCCUUGCAAUUU